CGGUUUCGAUGAAGUUUUCGGAUGGAUUUGAAAUCGACUUAGCGGCGGACGGGUGAGUAACGCGUGGGUAACCUGCCUUACACUGGGGGAUAACAGUUAGAAAUGACUGCUAAUACCGCAUAAGCGCACAGGGCCGCAUGGUCUGGUGUGAAAAACUCCGGUGGUGUAAGAUGGACCCGCGUCUGAUUAGGUAGUUGGUGGGGUAACGGCCCACCAAGCCGACGAUCAGUAGCCGACCUGAGAGGGUGACCGGCCACAUUGGGACUGAGACACGGCCCAAACUCCUACGGGAGGCAGCAGUGGGGAAUAUUGGACAAUGGGCGAAAGCCUGAUCCAGCGACGCCGCGUGAGUGAAGAAGUAUUUCGGUAUGUAAAGCUCUAUCAGCAGGGAAGAAAAUGACGGUACCUGACUAAGAAGCCCCGGCUAACUACGUGCCAGCAGCCGCGGUAAUACGUAGGGGGCAAGCGUUAUCCGGAUUUACUGGGUGUAAAGGGAGCGUAGACGGUUAAGCAAGUCUGAAGUGAAAGCCCGGGGCUCAACCCCGGUACUGCUUUGGAAACUGUUUGACUUGAGUGCAGGAGAGGUAAGUGGAAUUCCUAGUGUAGCGGUGAAAUGCGUAGAUAUUAGGAGGAACACCAGUGGCGAAGGCGGCUUACUGGACUGUAACUG
This 670-nucleotide ribosomal RNA is filed under the name uncultured bacterium. RNAcentral describes it as "bacterial SSU rRNA". It matches the Rfam family "Bacterial small subunit ribosomal RNA", at positions 72 to 742 of the family's 1533-position model. The record is from RNAcentral.